Molecule: long non-coding RNA, 1028 nt
Filed under: Anas platyrhynchos platyrhynchos (common mallard)
Lineage: Eukaryota; Metazoa; Chordata; Aves; Anseriformes; Anatidae
Description: lncRNA (ENSAPLG00000023348.1)
Source: RNAcentral
GGUUUGGUUGUGAGUUUGUUAGCAUGCACUGAAAUGAACUGUGUCAGGGCCCACAUUAGCCCUUAUCUCUGGAGACAAAACCCAAGGUCUGCAGCACACUACCCUAUGUCUUUCUGUUAUUGCUUGUGAAUAGUUUGCACCAACACAAACCUGAUGGACUUGCUGUCUUCUAACUUAUGCUGGUGCUCUUCUGACUUAUGCUGGUGGUUCCCUUGGGAAAACAAUCCGGAAUAAGGAGAAAAAUCUUGAGCCUGGGACAACAGAGAGGCAUCCUAAAUACAGGGGAGAUGGCAGCAAUGGGAGCUGUGCAUCCAGGAGCAGGCAGCUAACCUGGCCAUCUCUCCUGGGCUAAUCUGAAUUAAUUGGUGCUAUUGGUGCCUUUGAUACCCAAAUGCAGACCCCGGGGGUGGGAGUUCUCAUGAAACAAGUGGCCACUUGGGAGAGCUGUCCCAGGCCCAAUCAUGUCAUGGGCUCAUUUGUCUCCCACAGUAAUUCACUACUCACUUCAGUCACUUUAAAUGUAAAACAGCUGCUGCUGCUUAGCCCUCUUUUAAGGUACCCACUAGCAGCUUUAAACCAAUCCUGAAUGGGGCCCAUCCCAUAAUAGUCUCCCACACAGUGGUCAUUUGGAAACAAUUAACCCUUGAUUCAAGAUCCUCUUAAAGAAUCCUUUUCCAAGCCCUCCUCUUUUCCAUUGCAGCCUGUUGUGUUGUUGCCUCUUCCCUUGGAUGAGAACAGCUUUAUCCUCCAGGAGCAACAUCCAUGUCCUCUGGAAAAUGCAAGCCCUGAACAAAACCCAGCCCUGUCAAGCAAACUGCUUCCUAACUGCAAGCAUGGUGACCAUUCCUGCAAACAAAGGGAGAAGAAAAUAUGGCAAACUGAGCUCAGGAGUCCCACAAGAGUGUUACUCUGAGAACAUUAGUGGUGCUGACCAGCUCAUAAAGCUUGCCGUCGUGUUGAGUGCUCCUAGCCUCCGAGAGUCAACUUCAUUUUCCGUCCUGGCAAUAUACUGCUCCCGAAAACCUUAG